Molecule: ribosomal RNA, 417 nt
Filed under: Coptotermes gestroi
Lineage: Eukaryota; Metazoa; Arthropoda; Insecta; Blattodea; Rhinotermitidae
Description: partial 16S ribosomal RNA
Source: RNAcentral
AAACAUCUUUUCUUGUUAGUUUUUGAAGUAUGGCCUGCCCGCUGACAUUUGAGUGUUGAAGGGCCGCGGUAUUAUGACCGUGCAAAGGUAGCAUAAUCAUUAGUUCUUUAAUUGUGAUCUGGAAUGAAUGGCUUGACGAGGCACGGGCUGUCUUAGUGUUGAAUGUUUUAUUGAAUUUGGUCUUUGAGUUAAAAUUCUUAGAUGUUUUUGUGGGACGAGAAGACCCUAUAGAGUUUGACAUUUGGUUUAUUUACUUGUUUGUUGUUUGUUUAUUUUUGGUGAGUGGGCUUUUUGUUUUGUUGGGGUGAUGGGAGGAAUGUACUUAACUCCUCUUAGUUUUGGUUAUAUUGAUUUAUAAUUGUUUGAUCCAUUUAUUUUGAUUGUAAGACUAAAUUACCUUAGGGAUAACAGCGUAAA